This 433-nucleotide ribosomal RNA is filed under the name uncultured bacterium. Its description in RNAcentral is "partial 16S ribosomal RNA". It matches the Rfam family "Bacterial small subunit ribosomal RNA", at positions 29 to 507 of the family's 1533-position model. The record is from RNAcentral.
AACGAACGCUGGCGGCAUGCCUAACACAUGCAAGUCGAACGAGACCACCGGGACUAGUGGCGCUUGGGUGCGUCACGUGUCGGAACCUGCACUUAGGCUUGGAAUUACUCUCUGACAGGGGUGCUAACACAGGAAAACGUCCUCGGAUCAAAGAUUGAUCGUCCUUGGAUGGGCAGGCGUUGGUUUAGCUUGUUGCUAGGGUAAAAGCCUAUCAAGGAGACGCUCGAUAGCUGGUUUGAGAGGCAGGUCAGCCACACUGAGACUAGGACGCGGCCCAGACUCCUACGGGAUGCAGGAGUGGGUGAUAUUGGACAAUGGGCGGAGUCCUGAACCAGCUAUGCCUCGUAAGUGAUGAAGGCCUUAGAGUUGUAAAGCUCUUUUACCCGGGAUGAUAAUGACAGUACCGAAAGAAUAAGCUCCGGCUAACUCCGUG